CUGGCCCGGGAUUCUGGAGCCCGGCCACUGGGCUGGAUGUGGGUAAAUGAUUAGGCCGCCUGGCAGGCCAGAGAUUCCUGAUUCCCGAUGCCCCGAUUCCUGCUGGCUUCCUCCGUCGAAGAAGCGCUGAAUCGAAAUCAAAUUAAACUCGGUGGUGUUUCUCCCAGUUGCGUGUGUGUGUUUCCCGAUGGACUGCGGAGUGGAGUGGUGUGGAGUGGACCACUGGACGACUGGACGAUGAAGGAGGAGGAACGCAUUGUAUAUUUUGCAAUUUGAACAGCCGCUAGUUGCCGGUACACAGACGUUUAUAAUUCGCAAAGGUGUGCGUGGUGGUGGUGUGAAACAAAUUAAUAUCCGCUUAACUGCUACAAAUAUCAUUAGGCAUCUUGUGCACACAAAAACACACGUAAGACCACUAAUUUGAAUCGGCCGAAAUACAGAUGGGCUCGUGACAAAGUACCGAUUACUAUUCGUUCCGAUCACUCUAAGUAUUCACAACCUUUGAAAUCCGUCUUUGAUGUGCCGGCAAUAACAAAAAACAUGAUGGUUUUGUUAAUGGAUUUCUAUAAAGGCUUCCGACUGUUAAAAGACCCGACUGGAGGAGAACACCCGUGGCGAUAAUUUAAAGCCACUGUCUAAGCCAGCAUACCUUUCCAUACCCUUGCGUGGGGUAUGGUAGUUUUGACCAACUGACUGCAAUCGGCAUAGGAAAGCCGUCUCGACUCUGGGAGGCUUAUAUCUCGUUCCGAACUAGCUUCGGGGGAUCCUCUUCCAAUUUCAAUUGGUCAAAUUCAGGACAAUCCACUUCAAUAUCUGCCUACUUUUGUUAUAACCAAGAGAUACAGGUAAACGAGUGUCGAAUGCAAGAACGACUAGAAGGAUUGCUAAUAAGAGGGCACCGCAGUAUUAAACGGCUCCAAGCGAUUAAUCCUAAAUUAAAUGCCUGCACGCGGAGGACGCCGAGCAGUACCGUCGCAGGAGCACAGGAACAGGAACUGGAACUAAACACCCGUGGGGGGCACGGUGGCGAUACGACAUGACGAUGUGAUAUGGGCCAGAUAGCGACGAGAAGCGACGGCAAACAAGAUCGCGCCAACUGUCGGCAAUAAACUCUGCGCAAGAACUACUACGCUCGUUAUAAGCUCCGGCGACGACACUGGCUUUGGCGCUGGCCUGGCACUGGCACUGGCACUGGAUGUAAAAAGCACUCUCACUGAGGUUUCCUCUGCCUUCCUGCCGGCUGCCUGCCGCCUGCCCGCCUGGCAAAUUACCAUCAAAAGCUGAAUACGAAUACGUGAGUGGUAGUGGCUCUAUAGAGGCUAUGGGCUUCGAGGGGGCUAUAAAGCCCGAGCGAACUUGGGGCGAAGAUAGCGAUAGAGCGGGAACAAAACAAACGACAACAA
Molecule: long non-coding RNA, 1403 nt
Organism: Drosophila biarmipes
Lineage: Eukaryota; Metazoa; Arthropoda; Insecta; Diptera; Drosophilidae
Exons: 4
Source: RefSeq, a predicted model, not a curated record